GAUGAACGCUGGCGGCGUGCCUAAUACAUGCAAGUCGGGCGAACGGACGAGAAGCUUGCUUUUCUGAUGUUAGCGGCGGACGGGUGAGUAACACGUGGAUAACCUACCUAUAAGACUGGGAUAACUUCGGGAAACCGGAGCUAAUACCGGAUAAUAUUUUGAACCGCAUGGUUCAAAAGUGAAAGACGGUCUUGCUGUCACUUAUAGAUGGAUCCGCGCUGCAUUAGCUAGUUGGUAAGGUAACGGCUUACCAAGGCAACGAUGCAUAGCCGACCUGAGAGGGUGAUCGGCCACACUGGAACUGAGACACGGUCCAGACUCCUACGGGAGGCAGCAGUAGGGAAUCUUCCGCAAUGGGCGAAAGCCUGACGGAGCAACGCCGCGUGAGUGAUGAAGGUCUUCGGAUCGUAAAACUCUGUUAUUAGGGAAGAACAUAUGUGUAAGUAACUGUGCACAUCUUGACGGUACCUAAUCAGAAAGCCACGGCUAACUACGCG
RNAcentral lists this ribosomal RNA (497 nucleotides) under uncultured bacterium. RNAcentral describes it as "partial 16S ribosomal RNA". It matches the Rfam family "Bacterial small subunit ribosomal RNA", at positions 28 to 507 of the family's 1533-position model. The record is from RNAcentral.